Long non-coding RNA from Mastomys coucha (southern multimammate mouse), 738 nucleotides. RefSeq lists it as uncharacterized. The record is from RefSeq and is a predicted model, not a curated record. NCBI's taxonomy places the organism in Eukaryota, Metazoa, Chordata, Mammalia, Rodentia, Muridae. The transcript is spliced from 2 exons.
CACAGCGGGACGCCGUAACCCCUGACCCCGCCAGCACCUCGGCUUACCGGCUCCGCCACCUCCUGACACGCCGCGCCGGCGACUCCAUAUCCCAGGAGCCAGCGGCGACCCAGUCAACCUCCUGCCUUCCCAUGAUUGGACGGCUGGGCGGAGUCCCGCUUCUCUGAUUGGCUGGAUUCCUGCGGGACUGCGUGGCUGGCGGACAGGGAGCGGAGGCUCCGCCCACCAGAGCUGACGGGGGCGGGGCCUGGGGCGGGGCCUAGAGGGGGCGGGCCCGACCCGGAGGCGAGGUUCAGCCUGGCGCGCCGCAGUCCUCGCAGUUCAAACUUACGGCGAUCUCAAUUGGCAACUCCCACCCCCGGAAUGCUCGGGACACAUACAUUUUUGUCAUAGUUCCCGCCACUUCCUUUCAGGCAGCUACAUGCCUGUUUCCUCCUAAGAGAUGAUGACUCCGAGAUACACCUACACUCGAUAAUAAGGCACCAUGGCAGUCCCUUCUAGCUUCUUGAGCCACAGCCCCGUCCGUGCCCACUGACGCACCGAGAACACCCCACGUCUGGGAGGAACCGAGAAAUUUCGACCAGUGGAGCCAGUUCGGCCGCACCGGUCGUCCUACUUCCAAGCCUCACAAAACUAUCGGGAGAAAUGUUCAUUAUUUGGUAAGAACUGAGAUAGGAAGAAAGGGUAAACCCCAAAGAUGGAAACUAAAAAAUUAUGACAGCAAAAACAAACAGAAAA